RNAcentral lists this long non-coding RNA (243 nucleotides) under Gossypium barbadense (sea-island cotton). Its description in RNAcentral is "long non-coding RNA (GBAR_LNC007268)". The record is from RNAcentral. Lineage: Eukaryota; Viridiplantae; Streptophyta; Magnoliopsida; Malvales; Malvaceae.
AAAACAAUUCUUCGGAUAAGUUACAUUGAUUUUGCUACGGGCCAUGGUAUAGGUACUUAUUGUACAAGAUUUAUGAGUAUUCGAUUUCUAUUUUGAAUGGUUCAACGUGUAAAUGAAUGAUGUGGUUGAGAAAGAGGUUAGUACAAGGCGAUACAGUAAGACCAUAGCUGGGCUAUCGACAUCGAUAUGUGAUCCCAUGUAAGACCAUGUCUAGGACAUGGCAUUAGCAUCGAUCUAUGAUCC